RNAcentral lists this transfer RNA (86 nucleotides) under Opitutia bacterium. RNAcentral's name for it is "tRNA-Leu". It matches the Rfam family "tRNA". From Rfam's summary of the family: Transfer RNA (tRNA) molecules are approximately 80 nucleotides in length. Their secondary structure includes four short double-helical elements and three loops (D, anti-codon, and T loops). Lineage: Bacteria; Pseudomonadati; Verrucomicrobiota; Opitutia. The record is from RNAcentral. RNAcentral also lists the same sequence under 1 other name.
GCCCGGGUGGCGGAAUUGGUAGACGCGCCAGAUUUAGGAUCUGGUAUCCUUUGGAUGUGAGGGUUCGACCCCCUCCUCGGGCACCA